UAUAACGGUCCUAAGGUAGCGAAAUUCCUUGUCGGGUAAGUUCCGACCUGCACGAAUGGCGUAAUGAUGGCCAGGCUGUCUCCACCCGAGACUCAGUGAAAUUGAACUCGCUGUGAAGAUGCAGUGUACCCGCGGCAAGACGGAAAGACCCCGUGAACCUUUACUAUAGCUUGACACUGAACACUGGUCCUUGAUGUGUAGGAUAGGUGGGAGGCUUUGAAGCGUGGACGCCAGUCUGCGUGGAGCCAACCUUGAAAUACCACCCUUUAAUGGCUGGUGUUCUAACGUAGACCCGUAAUCCGGGUUGCGGACAGUGUCUGGUGGGUAGUUUGACUGGGGCGGUCUCCUCCCAAAGAGUAACGGAGGAGCACGAAGGUUGGCUAAUCCUGGUCGGACAUCAGGAGGUUAGUGCAAUGGCAUAAGCCAGCUUGACUGCGAGCGUGACGGCGCGAGCAGGUGCGAAAGCAGGUCAUAGUGAUCCGGUGGUUCUGAAUGGAAGGGCCAUCGCUCAACGGAUAAAAGGUACUCCGGGGAUAACAGGCUGAUACCGCCCAAGAGUUCAUAUCGACGGCGGUGUUUGGCACCUCGAUGUCGGCUCAUCACAUCCUGGGGCUGAAGUAGGUCCCAAGGGUAUGGCUGUUCGCCAUUUAAAGUGGUACGCGAGCUGGGUUUAGAACGUCGUGAGACAGUUCGGUCCCUAUCUGCCGUGGGCGCUGGAGAAUUGAGGGGGGCUGCUCCUAGUACGAGAGGACCGGAGUGGACGCAUCACUGGUGUUCGGGUUGUCAUGCCAAUGGCACUGCCCGGUAGCUAAAUGCGGAAGAGAUAAGUGCUGAAAGCAUCUAAGCACGAAACUUGCCCCGAGAUGAGUUCUCCCUGAGACUUUAAGUCUCCUGAAGGAACGUUGAAGACGACGACGUUGAUAGGUCGGGUGUGUAAGCGCAGCGAUGCGUUGAGCUAACCGAUACUAAUGAACCGUGAGGCUUAACCUU
This 990-nucleotide ribosomal RNA is filed under the name Enterobacter cloacae. RNAcentral describes it as "bacterial LSU rRNA". It matches the Rfam family "Bacterial large subunit ribosomal RNA", at positions 1941 to 2925 of the family's 2925-position model. Lineage: Bacteria; Pseudomonadati; Pseudomonadota; Gammaproteobacteria; Enterobacterales; Enterobacteriaceae. The record is from RNAcentral.